Molecule: ribosomal RNA, 274 nt
Filed under: uncultured bacterium
Lineage: Bacteria
Description: partial 16S ribosomal RNA
Rfam family: Bacterial small subunit ribosomal RNA
Source: RNAcentral
AUACGGAGGGUGCAAGCGUUAAUCGGAAUUACUGGGCGUAAAGCGCGCGUAGGCGGCUUGAUAAGUCGGAUGUGAAAUCCCCGGGCUUAACCUGGGAAUUGCAUUCGAUACUGUCAGGCUAGAGUGUGGUAGAGGGAAGUGGAGUUUCCGGUGUAGCGGUGAAAUGCGUAGAUAUCGGAAAGAACAUCAGUGGCGAAGGCGGCUUCCUGGAUCAACACUGACGCUGAGGUGCGAAAGCGUGGGGAGCAAACAGGAUUAGAAACCCCGGUAGUCC